RNAcentral lists this ribosomal RNA (253 nucleotides) under uncultured bacterium. RNAcentral's name for it is "partial 16S ribosomal RNA". It matches the Rfam family "Bacterial small subunit ribosomal RNA", at positions 524 to 776 of the family's 1533-position model. The record is from RNAcentral.
UACAGAGGUCUCAAGCGUUGUUCGGAUUCAUUGGGCGUAAAGGGUGCGUAGGCGGCGCGGUAAGUCAGGUGUGAAAUUUCGGAGCUUAACUCCGGAACUGCAUUUGAUACUGCCUUGCUUGAGGACUGGAGAGGAGACUGGAAUUCACGGUGUAGCAGUGAAAUGCGUAGAGAUCGUGAGGAAGACCAGUGGCGAAGGCGGGUCUCUGGACAGUUCCUGACACUGAGGCACGAAGGCCAGGGGAGCAAACGGG